RNAcentral lists this long non-coding RNA (1242 nucleotides) under Anser brachyrhynchus (Pink-footed goose). Its description in RNAcentral is "lncRNA (ENSABRG00000015975.1)". Lineage: Eukaryota; Metazoa; Chordata; Aves; Anseriformes; Anatidae. The record is from RNAcentral.
AUGUGCUUGCUAGGUGGAGUGUUUUCUCUCCUUCUUUCAGUCUUUCACCCCUGCAAGCUCUUCCACAGUCUUUUCCAAUUACAAGCUUCCCCCCUGAAAAAGCACACAACAGGCCUUCCAUGUGAAAUUGGCAAUAAAGCUCAGGGGAAAACAAUUUCCUGUGUGACAUUCGUAAAGGGAAAUUCUGCCUGGAAGGAAGCACUGUUAGGAAGAGCGUGGGCUGAACUCCAUCCUCUUUCAUCUGGAUCCUGGAGGCGUUCUCACCCCCGCUCCCUCCGCCUCCACACCCGAUGUCCUUGCCAAGAGCAUUGGGAAGAAGCUCUGAUCUGGAGCACAACAGCACACACCCUGAAGCUAGCUAGAUGGAGAUACUACUGAUGAGCUGCCUAAGUGCUUCUCUUUUGUUCCAGCCUGAGAUUUGAGGCUCAUUCCCUCUGUCCUGGCCAAGCAGAGAUUCAGAGGCAGAAAAGGGUCUCACUGGUCUGACGAUGAUGAUGAGCUACUCCAGGGGACCAUGGGGCUUAUCCCCAUGCACCCCCUGAACCGUGAGUGUCUGUAGCAGCAGAGCUAGCCACAGUCUGCCUGUCUGAGAGAUCCAGCAGAAAUAACGUGCCUUGUGGGAAUAGGUUGCCUCACCCAGGGCCUGAUGGCACGUGUUCUGCCGUUAGCCCAGCCCCUGGUCCAGCUGCAAGCCGAGACCUGCCGUGGUUAACGUGCUGCUAGGAGGCCCGUCUAGCACCUGUGGGAGCCCAUUGGCAUUAGAUUACACUUUGUGAUCUUCUGCGGUGUGAAACUAAAAUCUCCUGCAACUUGUGUGUCCUGUACAGUCCAAAUAAUGGCAUAAGGAUGGAACAGAGAAAGUAGGGAAGGGCAUUUAAAGCACAUGAAGUUCUGAGGCUCUCCUGAGCCAAAGCUACCUAGCUCAUCCCUGAAACAACCACCAAAAGAAACUCUUGAUGUUGAUCCAUGAGUAGCAGCAGAUGGUAUGCCUGCCUGUUAGGGGUAAUCUACUGGGCAUCAGCAGAGCACAGAACUUCUCUUGAAAGUCUUUGACCACCUCCAUGGUAUCGUCCAUGAGGACUGCAAUGCUGUAGGCAGCUUCUGGUGAAAUCAAGCAAUACAAAACAAGGGAAUGUAAAACGUGUGUUCCUUGGGGAGACCUGCACUUUGUCAGCUGAUGAUCAAGCUUUGCUAUCUCUUCUCUUAAAUAAAUACUCUGUUCCUGAAGGGGGCUGAGUCUAA